Molecule: long non-coding RNA, 391 nt
Organism: Ictalurus punctatus (channel catfish)
Lineage: Eukaryota; Metazoa; Chordata; Actinopteri; Siluriformes; Ictaluridae
Source: Ensembl
GGAUUUAAAGAUCAGAGGUGUGCUCUUUUCUGUAGGCGGUUAUCAGUCAGCCUGAACUGACCAAACCUCAGCACCUGCUGACCAGCGGCUUUAAACUGCCUCCACCCUACAAUCCCCACCAUCACCAGGCGCAGAGUGAACGUUCAGGCUGGCUGCCGUUAGGAAUUCCACCUGUCCGAAUGGCCACUACGGUGUAAUACAACCUCAACUCGGUGACCAGUAAUAUUUUUCCAUGUCCUAAAGACAUUUGAUAAGAGACCUGGCAUUGUCCAGAUCUACCUCACACACUAUUCAUCAUCAACCAAAGCUUUAAUCAUUUCCUGUCAUACGUUUACAUACGCCUUGCAGAAUCUGCAAAAUGUUUUUAAAAAAUCGAACAUCCGGUUCAAAA